UACGGAGGGUACAAGCGUUGCUCGGAAUUAUUGGGCGUAAAGGGUAGGUAGGUGGUCUCAUUUGUCUGGGGUGAAAGCCUUGAGCUUAACUCAAGAAGUGCCCCAGAAACGGUGAGACUGGAGUCCAGGAGAGGAACGCGGAAUUCCAGGUGUAGCGGUGAAAUGCGUAGAUAUCCGGAAGAACACCGGUGGCGAAGGCGGCCUGCUGGGCAGUUGCUGACACUGAGGCGCGACAGCGUGGGGAGCAAACAGG
RNAcentral lists this ribosomal RNA (253 nucleotides) under uncultured bacterium. Its description in RNAcentral is "partial 16S ribosomal RNA". It matches the Rfam family "Bacterial small subunit ribosomal RNA", at positions 524 to 776 of the family's 1533-position model. The record is from RNAcentral.